Molecule: long non-coding RNA, 465 nt
Organism: Labrus mixtus (cuckoo wrasse)
Lineage: Eukaryota; Metazoa; Chordata; Actinopteri; Labriformes; Labridae
Exons: 2
Source: RefSeq, a predicted model, not a curated record
AGUUUCACAAUAAUGGCUCUAAAAUUGUGACAUGCCUAUGUUUCCUUUUGCCUAUUCUUUUGUAUAGGCAUACCUCAGGUCACGUGACUGCCCAGUUUUCCCCUGGCGAAAAGAAAAACAUGGCGGACAUCCCUUCUAUUUUCGGUGGAAAAUGAAAUAUUUUAAGAUAGCUUAAGUGUCGUUUUGAUAACCUUUCUGGCGACAAAUGUAUAUUGUAUCUUCAUAAUCUUCGUUCGGUUUAUGUUUAUGAUCUUUAGUUUGUUCGUUUCUACAAAGAUUCUUUCAGGUCUCGAUAGAAAAACGUUGGGCUGUUACGUUUUCUACUGUUGCUAUGGUGAUAGCUAUGGACGCUAUCAACAACGAACCGGAAGGAAGUGGACGUUCGGUUCGCGGCUCUUAAAACGGGUUACAUCAGACCCUAGACAUCAAACUAAGCUCCUAUGCAAUAAAUAAUGAUUUCUGUUA